Molecule: ribosomal RNA, 497 nt
Filed under: uncultured bacterium
Lineage: Bacteria
Description: partial 16S ribosomal RNA
Rfam family: Bacterial small subunit ribosomal RNA
Source: RNAcentral
GAUGAACGCUGGCGGCGUGCCUAAUACAUGCAAGUCGAGCGAACAGACGAGGAGCUUGCUCCUCUGACGUUAGCGGCGGACGGGUGAGUAACACGUGGAUAACCUACCUAUAAGACUGGGAUAACUUCGGGAAACCGGAGCUAAUACCGGAUAAUAUAUUGAACCGCAUGGUUCAAUAGUGAAAGACGGUUUUGCUGUCACUUAUAGAUGGAUCCGCGCCGCAUUAGCUAGUUGGUAAGGUAACGGCUUACCAAGGCAACGAUGCGUAGCCGACCUGAGAGGGUGAUCAGCCACACGGGAACUGAGACACGGUCCAGACUCCUACGGGAGGCAGCAGUAGGGAAUCUUCCGCAAUGGGCGAAAGCCUGACGGAGCAACGCCGCGUGAGUGAUGAAGGUCUUCGGAUCGUAAAACUCUGUUAUUAGGGAAGAACAAAUGUGUAAGUAACUAUGCACGUCUUGACGGUACCUAAUCAGAAAGCCACGGCUAACUACGUG